RNAcentral lists this small RNA (115 nucleotides) under Marmota monax (woodchuck). Lineage: Eukaryota; Metazoa; Chordata; Mammalia; Rodentia; Sciuridae. The record is from RNAcentral.
GUUGGGCGUGGUGGAGCACACCUGUAAUCCCAGCAAUGAAGAGGCUGAGGCAGGAGGAUCACAAGUCCAAAGCCAGCCUCAAGGUCCUAAGCAACUCAGUGAGACCCUGUCUCAA